CACAAUACACGGAUUAGAAAAUAUCCGUUACAAACACGGAUUAUAUCACGUUAAUAUUCACUAUUAACAAAUAAAUUUGGUCCAAAAAAUUAAUCAAUCGAUCGAUCAUUUGACCAAAUCCGAAUCCAAAUCCCAUUUCCCAUUCACUCUAAUUUUAAGACUAUUUCAUCUUAAACAAAAACUCAACAAUUUCAUCUGUACAAGUAAAUGCUGCUCUUCAUAAAUUUUCUAUGGCUUUCAUUGAUUCCAUAAGUUAAGGCCUCAUCUUUUCGAACAAAAUUGAGGCUUCACUUCCUAUGUUUCAAUGCUGCAUGUGUUCCCAUGAUGAGGCUUUGGAAAAAUAACAAUUCAUAUUUCCAUCCGUAUAACAACAACCACUUCAAUUCCAAAUUGAGUUAUAUAGAAAUCCUUGUUGAACAUGUUGCUCCAUUUCAUGUUAGACCAAGAAAGUAGAAAUUUAGACGUGACUUAGAGAAAACAUUACUUCGUCUUACUUAAUUAAUUAAGAAAAAGGAGAUCGAAAAACAUGAAGUAGAAAACAGUAAUGACAACUACAUAAGAAAAUUAAAGUUGCAACAUGCAAAUGCAUAAUACUAAUAAGUAAAAGUGGUAGAGUAAAAUCAUAUUAAGUGACUUUAGAAGCACCAUACAUCAUAGUAAAACUCAAUGCAUAAUGAGGAGAUUAAUUACAUAGCAGGUAAAGAAAAAUCCAGCAGAGAUCGCCGGCGCAAAACCAUCGCCGGCCACCAUCGCCGGUGAAGGUGCAAUGUUGUCCUCCGACCCCACGUCCUGAGCCAUCGUCAUCUUCAAGCAAAUAACCAUCAAAAUCAUAAGAAGAAAAAUAUAGGAAACCCUAAGGCAAGCCAUUGAUGACAAUGUUCUUUUCUUUCUUUUUGGGGUAGAAAGUGAUGGAGAUUGGAGAAAGGCAGUAUGUUUAUAGCGAAACAAAGUUUGGAAGUUCAUGGUUGUGUGAUAUUUUAGAGUGACAACAAAGAAGAGGUACAGAUUCUGUUAUUUGCAUGUAUGCCAUAUGGCUAGUGGGAAUUCUUGUUGGAGAAAUGGGUGUCAUAUUAUUAUAGGGUAAGGUUUGACACGUUUUGCUAAAUUAUCAAUCGAAUUUAUGCUUUGUUCCCGUUUCAAUAUUGUUCUUCACAAAAGGCUCUCCCUGUGGAAAUUGUACUUAAUUGUUUCUUUUCUAUUUUAGUUUGUACUUUGGUUGGUGGGAUAAGCUAAGGGAUAACAAUUUCGGGAUAAUAAAAUUAUUUUAUUUUAAAUUUGGUUUAGUAUUAAUUAAUUUGUAUAUGGUAUUUAUUGAUCUAGAGAAACUAUACGACAAUGUCCCUAGGAGGUUCUAUGGAGAUUAAAGGUGUUCAUGUAGCACACAUAGAGUGAUUAAGGACAUGUACCGUGAAGCUAAAAUUCGAAUGAGGAUUAUGGAAGUAGACUCAGAAUAUUUUUCUGUUGUGAUGGGGUUGCACUAUAGGGCUCAACUUUUAGCCCGUUCUUAUUGCCUUAGCGAUGGACACAUCAACGCGCUAUAUUCAAGGGGAGGUGCCAUGGUGUAUGUUAUUCGCGGAUGAAAUUGUACUGAUUGACGAGACGCGAUUCGGUCUUUUUCAGUAUCUUGCUACUGUUAUUGCUUGUUGUUACUGCUUUAUUUCUUCUUUCCUGAGUUGAGGGUCUAUCAGAAACAACCUCUCUACCUUCCGAGGAUAGGGAUAAGGUCUGUGUACACACUAUCCUCCCUAUAUUCUACUUGUGAAAUUCAACUAAUUUUUUUGUUUGUUUGUUUGUAUUCUUGUGUUAAUUGAUUUGAUCAGAAACUAUUUUAUAUUAAAAUGGUAGAAUUAUUUAUCUCAUAAAAAGGAUGAAUUGCUAAUCUCAUGGAAUAUCCCAGCCCACAAGAUGAGGGUAGGACCGAAGGGGUAUCGUCAGCAACUAGUGAAGCAAAAAUCGUUUUUAAAUGGAAAAAUUGGUGAAGAGGGUUUAGAAAUAGGUAAUUAGGAAAAAUAAGUGUAUUUUAGUAUAAAAUUUAUCACUCGAUUAUUGUCAAUCAAUAUACAUUUUAUCUUAAUUUAUUAUGUAACUAAAAUAAAUUAGAGGCCCCUAUAUUAUUGGUAUUUUUUUUUCCAUGAAUUAUUUCACAGUUUUGAUCUGCAAUAUUAAUGACAAGUGCUUGCGAAUAAAAACUUAUUCACACCAAAUAAUUAUUAUGAAUAAUUAUGUUCAAUGCAAUUCCAAAGAGUUCUUAAAAAACUUUUUUUUUUCUGGUCAUCAAUUUUUUUUUUUUUUGGGGUGUGAUUCAGACACAACAAUUCACCUUAAUUAAUCCCAUUGAUAGUUUUGAGGGUUGAUCGAUAUCUCGCCAUCAAUCUUAAAUAAAUGCAAAAUGAUAAAACGCAGUUAACCAUUUCAUAGCAAAAACUCAAAAUAACAAUAUAAUAAUAUACCACAAAAUAAUGAUUUUAUUUUGUUGGUGAUAAUCAUAUAUAUAUAUAUAAUUUGUUACACAAAGAGAAUUUCCUUCAAUUGUUCAUCAUCUUCCCUUUUUUUACCUUACUAAUUGAUCUUCUUGUCCCCACCAUGAUUAUAAUCCAUUUUCCCCUCACUUUGUGUGAACAAAUUUAAUUAGUGCAUGUAAUAAGCGAAGAAGGACAAAAAAGUAGCCCCAACCAAAGUUCCCAGAGCAGGUAAUGCAGCAGUGGCAUCACUUGUUGGUGCAGGGGCAGGUGCAGAAAUUGGGGGCAAUUGAGCCAUAGCUGCACUAAUUGAGCCUGCAACAAUUAGGGUGACACAAGCAAUCUUCUUCAUCUCCAUUUUUCUGUUUUGAAAAAAAAAAAGUGUUUCUUAAAAAUUUGUGUUUGAUUAUUUGUUGCUUUGGUGAAUUGAAUAUGGUUGAGAAAAAGGUUAUAUAUAUAGGUGUGUGUAGAGAUAUUUAGUAGAAUUUUAC
This 2950-nucleotide long non-coding RNA is filed under the name Nicotiana tabacum (common tobacco). Its description in RNAcentral is "long non-coding RNA (NTAB_LNC018788)". Lineage: Eukaryota; Viridiplantae; Streptophyta; Magnoliopsida; Solanales; Solanaceae. The record is from RNAcentral.